AGCAGCCGCGGUAACUCCAGCUCCAAUAGCGUAUAUUAAAGUUGUUGCAGUUAAAAAGCUCGUAGUUGAAUUUUGGAUUCGGCCAAUUGGUCCAUCUUUUAGAUGAGUACUGGUUGUGUUGGGUCUAUCCGCCUGGUGAUACGUAAUGUCCUUUAUUGGAUGUUGCGGGUAGUCAGGACCUUUACCUUGAAAAAAUUAGAGUGUUUAAAGCAGGCUUAUGCCGGAAUACAUUAGCAUGGAAUAAUAGAAUAGGACGAAGUUGUUUUAUUUUGUUGGUUUCUAGGACAACCGUAAUGAUUAAUAGGGAUAGUUGGGGGCAUUAGUAUUCAAUUGUCAGAGGUGAAAUUCUUGGAUUUAUUGAAGACUAACUACUGCGAAAGCAUUUGCCAAGGAUGUUUUCAUUAAUCAAGAACGAAAGUUAGGGGAUCGAAGACGAUCAGAUACCGUCGUAGUCUUAACCAUAAACUAUGCCGACUAGGGAUCGGGCGAUGUUGUUUCCAUGACUCGCUCGGCACCUUAU
RNAcentral lists this ribosomal RNA (520 nucleotides) under uncultured Archaeospora. RNAcentral's name for it is "SSU rRNA". It matches the Rfam family "Eukaryotic small subunit ribosomal RNA", at positions 569 to 1091 of the family's 1831-position model. The record is from RNAcentral. Lineage: Eukaryota; Fungi; Glomeromycota; Glomeromycetes; Archaeosporales; Archaeosporaceae.